GGGGUUUGACCUAAUUGGU
This 19-nucleotide non-coding RNA is filed under the name Arabidopsis thaliana (thale cress). The record is from RNAcentral. Lineage: Eukaryota; Viridiplantae; Streptophyta; Magnoliopsida; Brassicales; Brassicaceae.